RNAcentral lists this ribosomal RNA (296 nucleotides) under uncultured bacterium. RNAcentral describes it as "partial 16S ribosomal RNA". It matches the Rfam family "Bacterial small subunit ribosomal RNA", at positions 28 to 309 of the family's 1533-position model. The record is from RNAcentral.
GACGAACGCUGGCGGCGUGCUUAACACAUGCAAGUCGAGCGGUAAGGCCCUUUCGGGGUACGACGAGCGGCGAACGGGUAGGAGUAACAACGUGGGUGGACCUCGCCCUCCAGCUCCUGGGAGUAAAGACCUCGGGAAACCGGGGUACCGUAAUAACCGGAUAUGACUCCAUGACGCAUGUUGUGGGGUGGAAAGCCUUGUGCGGCUGAGGAUGGGCCCGCGGCCUAUCAGCUUGUUGGUGGGGUGAUGGCCUACCAAGGCGACGACGGGUAGCCGGCCUGAGAGGGCGACCGGCC